RNAcentral lists this ribosomal RNA (253 nucleotides) under uncultured bacterium. Its description in RNAcentral is "partial 16S ribosomal RNA". It matches the Rfam family "Bacterial small subunit ribosomal RNA", at positions 524 to 776 of the family's 1533-position model. The record is from RNAcentral.
UACAGAGGUGGCAAGCGUUGUUCGGAAUUACUGGGCGUAAAGGGCGCGUAGGCGGCCUUCUAAGUCAGACGUGAAAUCCCCCGGCUUAACCUGGGAACUGCGUCUGAUACUGGAAGGCUUGAGUGCGGGAGAGGGAUGUGGAAUUCCAGGUGUAGCGGUGAAAUGCGUAGAUAUCGAGAGGAACACCUGCGGCGAAGGCGGGUUGCUGGGCUGAUACUGACGCUGAGGCGCGAAAGCCAGGGGAGCGAACGGG